This is a long non-coding RNA of Mastomys coucha (southern multimammate mouse), 1114 nucleotides long. RefSeq lists it as uncharacterized. NCBI's taxonomy places the organism in Eukaryota, Metazoa, Chordata, Mammalia, Rodentia, Muridae. The transcript is spliced from 4 exons. The record is from RefSeq and is a predicted model, not a curated record.
GCCGCGGCUCCGGCUCUCGCUGUCGCUCAGCAGAUCGUCCUCCGAGUCCUCGAGCAGCGACGAGGAGCCGGUGGAGGAGAGCGACGAGGUGGAGAGGCGGCGUGGCUGCUGCAGAAGAAAACCUCACAUGGCCUAGAGUUGUGGCUGCACGCUGAAAAGAAAACACCGAUGUAGAAGUUCAGACCCUGCAAAUCCUUCUUGUCAUCCCUGGAGAGAUGUGCGGACUCUGCUUGCUGGUGCUCAGCUGAACUGCAAGGCUACUGUGAGCAGAAGCCAGAAUCGUCUUGCUGUCCCCUAAAAGGAUCGAGGGCCCUGUCAUGGAACACCAGAGCCUGGGAUUGUUGGAGCAGGCCCAGGGUUAUGUAUGCGACUUGCCUUUUCUCUCUUCAGCCAGAAUUUAAGAUGGUUCAGGAGAAGAAAUGAGUGUUGAGAGGGAGAAGGAGAACCUUUGGCAAACAGAAAAGAUCCCUAGAGGAGGAGAAGGAGGAAGAGGAGGAGGAGGAGGAGGAGGAGGAGAAGUAAGCAUGUUUCCAGGGGCUGUGGCUGCUUGUAGCCAUGGGAUCUCCAACUGCUUGCCAGAGUAAUGGAGAGACUUUGACAGCCCAGGUCACUGCAGUGCCUGCAGCUGCCACUCAGCUUCCCUAUAUAUUUUGGCGGGUGGGGAGGGAAGGGGGGGGAAGGGCAGAAGUGUGGAAGGAAUGAAAGCAAAAGAGAAAGAAAACCACAGGAGUCUGAACACUUACUCCUCCGUGGAGAGGUCAAGAAAGAGCAUGGACACAUGGAAACGGACAUGGACAGAGUUUCUGGGGCAGAGGGCAACAGCCAUGGGACAGAAAUAUAGGGAUGGAAAGGCCUGGAAAUGGAAUGAGCAAGAAUAUCAUGUCCUUGCCCAAGUUCAGGUCUACCAUACCGAGAACCAAAGACCGCUGCUGUGGGCUAUGGCGAAUGCCUGUGCUACCUUUGUUAGGACUCCAUUAGGCAGAAGGAGGAGGACCAGGGAUUCAAGCCAUCCAUCCACAGGUGCUGAAGCAAAAUUACUGCUAACUACCCCCACGUCUAUCUGGUCCUAUGCAGUUUCUAAAAGCUUCUUUAAAUUAAAAAAGCCAAACAAAAA